CCCAGUGAACAAUUAAACGGCCGCGGUACCCUAACCGUGCAAAGGUAGCGUAAUCAUUUGUCUACUAAUUAUAGACCUGUAUGAAAGGCAAAAUGAGGGCCCAACUGUCUCUUAUAGUCAAUCAAUUAAACUGAUCUCCUAGUAAAAAAGCUAGAAUUCCCACAUAAGACCAGAAGACCCUGUGAAGCUUAAAUUAAACUAUUAAACCUUAUAAUAACUACUUUCGGUUGGGGCGACCUUGGAAAAAAAAAGAACUUCCAUACACAAUAACUACUCAUACCCAAUAGGCUCACCAGCCAUUAACUGACCCAGCAAGACUGACAAAUGAACCAAGUUACUCCAGGGAUAACAGCGCAAUCUUCUUCAAGAGCCCAUAUCAAAAAGAAGGUUUACGACCUCGAUGUUGGAUCAGGACAUCCUAA
RNAcentral lists this ribosomal RNA (422 nucleotides) under Dendrophidion graciliverpa. RNAcentral describes it as "partial 16S ribosomal RNA". It matches the Rfam family "Bacterial large subunit ribosomal RNA", at positions 1908 to 2550 of the family's 2925-position model. The record is from RNAcentral. Lineage: Eukaryota; Metazoa; Chordata; Lepidosauria; Squamata; Colubridae.